This 450-nucleotide ribosomal RNA is filed under the name uncultured Glomeromycotina. Its description in RNAcentral is "SSU rRNA". It matches the Rfam family "Eukaryotic small subunit ribosomal RNA", at positions 569 to 1023 of the family's 1831-position model. Lineage: Eukaryota; Fungi; Glomeromycota. The record is from RNAcentral.
AGCAGCCGCGGUAAUUCCAGCUCCAAUAGCGUAUAUUAAAGUUGCUGCAGUUAAAAAGCUCGUAGUUGAAUUUCGGGAUCAUCAUGUCGGUCGUGCCUCGGUACGUACUGGCAUUGUUGGUUUCUACCUUCUGACGAACCAUGAUGUCAUUUAUUUGGUGUCGUGGGAAAUCAGGACUGUUACUUUAGAAAAAAUUAGAGUGUUUAAAGCAGGCUCACGCUUGAAUACAUUAGCAUGGAAUAAUGAAAUAGGACGUUUGAUUCUAUUUUGUUGGUUUCUAGGAUCGACGUAAUGAUUAAUAGGGAUAGUUGGGGGCAUUAGUAUUCAAUUGUCAGAGGUGAAAUUCUUGGAUUUAUUGAAGACUAACUACUGCGAAAGCAUUUGCCAAGGAUGUUUUCAUUAAUCAAGAACGAAAGUUAGGGGAUCGAAGACGAUCAGAUACCGUCGUAG